CUGAAAGCCUGGUGCUUGCACCGGGUGGAUGAGUGGCGAACGGGUGAGUAACACGUGAGUAACCUGCCCCUGACUUCGGGAUAAGCCCGGGAAACUGGGUCUAAUACCGGAUACGACUGCCGGACGCAUGUCUGGUGGUGGAAAGUUUUUUCGGUUGGGGAUGGGCUCGCGGCCUAUCAGUUUGUUGGUGAGGUAAUGGCUCACCAAGACGACGACGGGUAGCCGGCCUGAGAGGGCGACCGGCCACACUGGGACUGAGACACGGCCCAGACUCCUACGGGAGGCAGCAGUGGGGAAUAUUGCACAAUGGGGGAAACCCUGAUGCAGCGACGCAGCGUGCGGGAUGACGGCCUUCGGGUUGUAAACCGCUUUCAGCAGGGAAGAAGCGCAAGUGACGGUACCUGCAGAAGAAGUACCGGCUAACUACGUGCCAGCAGCCGCGGUAAUACGUAGGGUACGAGCGUUGUCCGGAAUUAUUGGGCGUAAAGAGCUCGUAGGUGGUUGGUCACGUCUGCUGUGGAAACGCAACGCUUAACGUUGCGCGUGCAGUGGGUACGGGCUGACUAGAGUGCAGUAGGGGAGUCUGGAAUUCCUGGUGUAGCGGUGAAAUGCGCAGAUAUCAGGAGGAACACCGGUGGCGAAGGCGGGACUCUGGGCUGUAACUGACACUGAGGAGCGAAAGCAUGGGGAGCGAACAGGAUUAGAUACCCUGGUAGUCCAUGCCGUAAACGUUGGGCACUAGGUGUGGGGGGGCAUUCCACGUUCUCCGCGCCGUAGCUAACGCAUUAAGUGCCCCGCCUGGGGAGUACGGUCGCAAGGCUAAAACUCAAAGGAAUUGACGGGGGCCCGCACAAGCGGCGGAGCAUGCGGAUUAAUUCGAUGCAACGCGAAGAACCUUACCAAGGCUUGACAUACACCGGACCGUCCUGGAAACAGGUCCUCUUCUUUGAAGCUGGUGUACAGGUGGGUGCAUGGUUGUCGUCAGCUCGUGU
RNAcentral lists this ribosomal RNA (992 nucleotides) under uncultured bacterium. Its description in RNAcentral is "bacterial SSU rRNA". It matches the Rfam family "Bacterial small subunit ribosomal RNA", at positions 67 to 1065 of the family's 1533-position model. The record is from RNAcentral.